CAGCAGCCGCGGUAAUACGAAGGGUGCAAGCGUUAAUCGGAAUUACUGGGCGUAAAGCGUGCGUAGGCGGUUUGUUAAGUCUGCUGUGAAAUCCCCGGGCUCAACCUGGGAAUGGCAGUGGAUACUGGCAAGCUAGAGUGUGUCAGAGGAUGGUGGAAUUCCCGGUGUAGCGGUGAAAUGCGUAGAGGUCGGGAGGAACAUCAGUGGCGAAGGCGGCCAUCUGGGCCAACACUGACACUGAGGCACGAAAGCGUGGGGAGCAAACAGGAUUAGAUACCCGUGUAGUCCCUGUCUCUUAUAC
RNAcentral lists this ribosomal RNA (301 nucleotides) under uncultured bacterium. RNAcentral's name for it is "partial 16S ribosomal RNA". It matches the Rfam family "Bacterial small subunit ribosomal RNA", at positions 509 to 807 of the family's 1533-position model. The record is from RNAcentral.